Molecule: small RNA, 154 nt
Filed under: Chelonoidis abingdonii (Abingdon island giant tortoise)
Lineage: Eukaryota; Metazoa; Chordata; Testudines; Testudinidae
Description: TUC338 (ENSCABG00000020051.1)
Source: RNAcentral
GCAACAGCUGUGGAGACUGGCAUUCUCAGUGCAAUCACAGACAAGACAUAGCACUGCAAGUGUCAGUACAAGUUUCUAAUGUGCCUGAAUUGCAGACAGCUUCUAGAAACAAAAGGGCAGUCCAGUCUCUAUGCCCAUUCAGGCCUUGGCCUCA